ACAAACACCCUAAACCUCUCAAAAACACUCCUAAACUCAGCUUGUUUUCAGCAUAAUUGUGCAGAAAGUUCCAGCCAUUCUAAGUGAGUUUUAACUCACUUCUUCUAUUCUCUUCUUAUUUAUUCUUCUAAAACACUUGGAUCACCUUUAGGAAGGUUUUCACAAGUUUGCUUGGGAAAACUAAGGUGAAACCUCACCAUUUUUUAGGUCCAAAGUGCACUUUAAAUUCUGCUUGUUUUUAUCUUUUUAUAUGUUCAUGUUCUUGCUAAAAACUUGGUGGAAUCUUGUUCCCACCAAGCUCACAACUUAGUCUAUGGUUGUGGGUUUAUGUUGAGGUGAUUUCCAUCAAAUUUUUGAGUUCAAACACUCAUUUAAAUUAUGUUUACACAUGGUAUUUGAAUGAUGAAAGCAAGCAUAAGUCAUCUCCUUCCAGAUGAUGAACUUGUGACUUGUGAAAUGUAAACAAAUGGAAGCUUUAGCUUUCCAAACUAAGUUCCACUCCUUCAUUUGAACCUUAUGUAUGAACACUCUUGUGACUUACUAGAAUCAAAGUACCUUAGCCCCGUCUAGCCUCCGACACUUAGGAUUACCUUUCCAUGUCGUGUUGGCACACCCGGAUUGUAGAGUACUUGGUCACUUGAGCUAUGUUAGAUAGAUUUAUUUCUUGUUAUUCAUGACCCUCCGAACCAUCCUUGUGAUGGUUUGUGUAGUGGUGAAUCAUAUAAUGAGGUUUUAACCUCCUUGCUUAACAUACAUGAUACUACAUGAUAAUCUAUGAUUGGACUUAGUUUUAGGAUGUUAUUAUUACUAUAUAAACUAUACGUAUUUAUAUAAAACAUGGCUGAAUUUGUGAUGACAAUCAAGUCAUGAUUGUUCGUCAUAAACUUAGCCUAAGAUAUCUAAGAUUCUAAGUUACUUGUUAUGAUUCACCACUUGAUAUGGUGUCAUAAACGAGCUCUUAGGACUAGGUAUUACUUUGGCAUACAUACUUUCGAUACUUAAUUUUCUAAAUCCCGAAUCUCAUCACUUCCUAAAAAUCAUGUAACCUUACCAUUAAAUCCUUAUUCUCCAACAACUCAUCACUCACGGAUAAUCAGAAAGCAUGUGCGAUAUUGUUUAUGAUGAUGUUGAUGAUGCAUAAAACUUAGUAGGAUGCCUAGAAACGCAUUUUUUAAACGUUAAUACUUGUUUUAUUGUAAUUUAUUUGUUCCAACUUGUUGUAUUUCCUUUUCAAACAAUGUAAUUUGAUUCUUUUAGUCAUGAAAUGAAAUUU
This 1273-nucleotide long non-coding RNA is filed under the name Helianthus annuus (common sunflower). Its description in RNAcentral is "hypothetical non coding rna". The record is from RNAcentral. Lineage: Eukaryota; Viridiplantae; Streptophyta; Magnoliopsida; Asterales; Asteraceae.